Molecule: long non-coding RNA, 342 nt
Filed under: Brachypodium distachyon (stiff brome)
Lineage: Eukaryota; Viridiplantae; Streptophyta; Magnoliopsida; Poales; Poaceae
Description: long non-coding RNA (BDIS_LNC002771)
Source: RNAcentral
AACCGUCAACGCAGCUCACAAAGACUCAGUCACAAGUACGCCUUGUUAGCAAUGGCGUACCGGCAGGCCAUGUCCUACUCCAACACCGUCGACGAGUGCUGCGACGGCGGCCGCACGGCCCCCAUGUACUCCAACAACACCGUCGACGAGUGCUACGACGCCGGCCGCCACGGUCAUGGCCACGGCCACGGGCACGGGCACGGCAUGACCAAGAUGUACUCCAACACCACCGACGAGUGCUUCGACGGCGGCCGGACCAAUAUGUACUCCAACACCACCGACGUCGAGUGCUACGACGCCGGCCACCACGGUCACGGCGGCGGCAGGAGGCCGGCUUACGAC